This 150-nucleotide ribosomal RNA is filed under the name Aureimonas altamirensis DSM 21988. The record is from RNAcentral. Lineage: Bacteria; Pseudomonadati; Pseudomonadota; Alphaproteobacteria; Hyphomicrobiales; Aurantimonadaceae.
CCUGGUGGUCAUUGCGAGGGCCAUGCACCCGAUCCCAUGCCGAACUCGGCCGUGAAAUCCCUCCGCGCCAAUGAUACUUCGUCUCAAGACGCGGGAAAGUCGGUCGCUGCCAGGUCUGCUAAGUGCAUCUCUCUCUCUCUUCACAUCAUC